This 1269-nucleotide ribosomal RNA is filed under the name Salmonella enterica. Its description in RNAcentral is "partial 23S ribosomal RNA". It matches the Rfam family "Bacterial large subunit ribosomal RNA", at positions 568 to 1756 of the family's 2925-position model. RNAcentral also lists the same sequence under 1 other name. The record is from RNAcentral. Lineage: Bacteria; Pseudomonadati; Pseudomonadota; Gammaproteobacteria; Enterobacterales; Enterobacteriaceae.
AAGCAGAGGGGGCUUAGUGGUGGGGUGACUGCGUACCUUUUGUAUAAUGGGUCAGCGACUUAUAUUCUGUAGCAAGGUUAACCGAAUAGGGGAGCCGGAGGGAAACCGAGUCUUAAUUGGGCGUUAAGUUGCAGGGUAUAGACCCGAAACCCGGUGAUCUAGCCAUGGGCAGGUUGAAGGUUGGGUAACACUAACUGGAGGACCGAACCGACUAAUGUUGAAAAAUUAGCGGAUGACCUGUGGCUGGGGGUGAAAGGCCAAUCAAACCGGGAGAUAGCUGGUUCUCCCCGAAAGCUAUUUAGGUAGCGCCUCGUGAACUCAUCUCCGGGGGUAGAGCACUGUUUCGGCUAGGGGGCCAUCCCGGCUUACCAACCCGAUGCAAACUGCGAAUACCGGAGAAUGUUAUCACGGGAGACACACGGCGGGUGCUAACGUCCGUCGUGAAGAGGGAAACAACCCAGACCGCCAGCUAAGGUCCCAAAGUCAUGGUUAAGUGGGAAACGAUGUGGGAAGGCCCAGACAGCCAGGAUGUUGGCUUAGAAGCAGCCAUCAUUUAAAGAAAGCGUAAUAGCUCACUGGUCGAGUCGGCCUGCGCGGAAGAUGUAACGGGGCUAAACCAUGCACCGAAGCUGCGGCAGCGAACGUAUCACCCAAGACAACUUUACGGAGUUGACGAUUGACGGAGCGAAGCGACGUCAAAGCGUUCAUUAAAGUCGAGUUGGCUUAGGGAUACGUUCGUUGGGUAGGGGAGCGUUCUGUAAGCCUGUGAAGGUGGCCUGUGAGGGUUGCUGGAGGUAUCAGAAGUGCGAAUGCUGACAUAAGUAACGAUAAAGCGGGUGAAAAGCCCGCUCGCCGGAAGACCAAGGGUUCCUGUCCAACGUUAAUCGGGGCAGGGUGAGUCGACCCCUAAGGCGAGGCCGAAAGGCGUAGUCGAUGGGAAACGGGUUAAUAUUCCCGUACUUGGUGUUACUGCGAAGGGGGGACGGAGAAGGCUAUGUUGGCCGGGCGACGGUUGUCCCGGUUUAAGCGUGUAGGCUGGUUUUCCAGGCAAAUCCGGAAAAUCAAGGCUGAGGCGUGACGACGAGGCACUACGGUGCUGAAGCAACAAAUGCCCUGCUUCCAGGAAAAGCCUCUAAGCAUCAGGUAACAUCAAAUCGUACCCCAAACCGACACAGGUGGUCAGGUAGAGAAUACCAAGGCGCUUGAGAGAACUCGGGUGAAGGAACUAGGCAAAAUGGUGCCGUAACUUCGGGAGAAGGCACGCUGACA